RNAcentral lists this ribosomal RNA (376 nucleotides) under Flavobacterium sp. R-41446. RNAcentral describes it as "partial 16S ribosomal RNA". It matches the Rfam family "Bacterial small subunit ribosomal RNA", at positions 21 to 402 of the family's 1533-position model. The record is from RNAcentral. Lineage: Bacteria; Pseudomonadati; Bacteroidota; Flavobacteriia; Flavobacteriales; Flavobacteriaceae.
GGCUCAGGAUGAACGCUAGCGGCAGGCUUAACACAUGCAAGUCGAGGGGUAGAGCAGCAAUGCUUGAGACCGGCGCACGGGUGCGUAACGCGUAUGCAAUCUACCUUUUACAGAGGGAUAGCCCAGAGAAAUUUGGAUUAAUACCUCAUAGUAUWWWRRRWUGGCAUCAWYWUWWWAUUAAAGUCACAACGGUAAAAGAUGAGCAUGCGUCCCAUUAGCUAGUUGGUAAGGUAACGGCUUACCAAGGCAACGAUGGGUAGGGGUCCUGAGAGGGAGAUCCCCCACACUGGUACUGAGACACGGACCAGACUCCUACGGGAGGCAGCAGUGAGGAAUAUUGGUCAAUGGACGCAAGUCUGAACCAGCCAUGCCGCGU